UACGUAGGAUGCGAGCGUUAUCCGGAAUUACUGGGUGUAAAGGGAGCGCAGGCGGGACUGCAAGUUGGAUGUGAAAUGCCGCAGCUUAACUGCGGAGCUGCAUCCAAAACUGUAGUUCUUGAGUGGAUGAGAAGUACGCGGAAUGCGUGGUGUAGCGGUGAAAUGCAUAGAUAUCACGCAGAACUCCGAUUGCGGAGGCAGCGUACCGGCAUCCAACUGACGCUGAGGCACGAAAGCGUGGGGAUCAAACAGG
RNAcentral lists this ribosomal RNA (253 nucleotides) under uncultured bacterium. RNAcentral describes it as "partial 16S ribosomal RNA". It matches the Rfam family "Bacterial small subunit ribosomal RNA", at positions 524 to 776 of the family's 1533-position model. The record is from RNAcentral.